Molecule: unclassified non-coding RNA, 239 nt
Filed under: Pleosporales sp.
Lineage: Eukaryota; Fungi; Ascomycota; Dothideomycetes; Pleosporales
Description: partial contains 5.8S ribosomal RNA, internal transcribed spacer 2, and large subunit ribosomal RNA
Source: RNAcentral
CGCACAUUGCGCCUAUUGGUAUUCCAAUAGGCAUGCCUGUUCGAGCGUCAUCUAACCCCUCAAGCUUUGCUUGGUGUUGGGCAUUGUUCGCCUCGCGGACUUGCCUUGAAUAAAUUGGCAGCCAACCAUUAGGUGUUGGAGCGCAGCACAUUUUGCGUUCCGGGCUAUGGUAGUUGGCCUCCAAAAAGCUUAUUUCGACGUUUGACCUCGGAUCAGGUAGGGAUACCCGCUGAACUUAA